RNAcentral lists this ribosomal RNA (405 nucleotides) under uncultured bacterium. RNAcentral's name for it is "bacterial SSU rRNA". It matches the Rfam family "Bacterial small subunit ribosomal RNA", at positions 355 to 776 of the family's 1533-position model. RNAcentral also lists the same sequence under 1 other name. The record is from RNAcentral.
UGGGGGAUAUUGCACAAUGGGGGGAACCCUGAUGCAGCGACGCCGCGUGGGUGAAGAAGCGCCCCGGCGCGUAAAGCCCUGUCAGCAGGGAAGAAGAAGGACGGUACCUGACCAAGAAGCCCCGGCUAACUACGUGCCAGCAGCCGCGGUAAUACGUAGGGGGCAAGCGUUAUCCGGAUUUACUGGGUGUAAAGGGGGCGCAGACGGCGAUGCAAGCCAGGAGUGAAAGCCCGGGGCCCAACCCCGGGACUGCUCUUGGAACUGCGUGGCUGGAGUGCAGGAGGGGCAGGCGGAAUUCCUGGUGUAGCGGUGAAAUGCGUAGAUAUCAGGAGGAACACCGGUGGCGAAGGCGGCCUGCUGGACUGCAACUGACGUUGAGGCCCGAAAGCGUGGGGAGCAAACAGG